Molecule: ribosomal RNA, 470 nt
Filed under: uncultured bacterium
Lineage: Bacteria
Description: partial 16S ribosomal RNA
Rfam family: Bacterial small subunit ribosomal RNA
Source: RNAcentral
GACGAACGCUGGCGGCGUGCUUAACACAUGCAAGUCGAACGCUGAAGCACCAGCUUGCUGGUGUGGAUGAGUGGCGAACGGGUGAGUAAUACGUGAGUAACCUGCCCUUGACUCUGGGAUAAGCCCGGGAAACUGGGUCUAAUACUGGAUGCUACAUGUCACCGCAUGGUGGUGUGUGGAAAGGGUUUACUGGUCUUGGAUGGGCUCACGGCCUAUCAGCUUGUUGGUGAGGUAAUGGCUCACCAAGGCGACGACGGGUAGCCGGCCUGAGCGGGUGAACGGCCACACUGGGACUGAGACACGGCCCAGACUCCUACGGGAGGCAGCAGUGGGGAAUAUUGCACAAUGGGCGAAAGCCUGAUGCAGCGACGCCGCGUGAGGGAUGACGGCCUUCGGGUUGUAAACCUCUUUCAGCAGGGAAGAAGCCACAAGUGACGGUACCUGCAGAAGAAGCGCCGGCUAACUACGUG